This 68-nucleotide transfer RNA is filed under the name Trichonephila inaurata madagascariensis. RNAcentral's name for it is "tRNA-Arg". The stretch from base 2 to 61 matches the Rfam family "tRNA", at positions 7 to 64 of the family's 71-position model. From Rfam's summary of the family: Transfer RNA (tRNA) molecules are approximately 80 nucleotides in length. Their secondary structure includes four short double-helical elements and three loops (D, anti-codon, and T loops). Further hydrogen bonds mediate the characteristic L-shaped molecular structure. tRNAs have two regions of fundamental functional importance: the anti-codon, which is responsible for specific mRNA codon recognition, and the 3' end, to which the tRNAs corresponding amino acid is attached (by aminoacyl-tRNA synthetases). tRNAs cope with the degeneracy of the genetic code in two manners: having more than one tRNA (with a specific anti-codon) for a particular amino acid; and 'wobble' base-pairing, i.e. permitting non-standard base-pairing at the 3rd anti-codon position. The record is from RNAcentral. Lineage: Eukaryota; Metazoa; Arthropoda; Arachnida; Araneae; Nephilidae.
UGUAGUGCAAUGGAUAGUGUGUUGGGCUUCUAAUCCAAUGGUCGUGGGUUCGAAUCCCACCUGAAAAG